RNAcentral lists this long non-coding RNA (1131 nucleotides) under Otus sunia (Oriental scops-owl). RNAcentral describes it as "lncRNA (ENSOSUG00000007392.1)". Lineage: Eukaryota; Metazoa; Chordata; Aves; Strigiformes; Strigidae. The record is from RNAcentral.
CCCCUGGGUGCUGCAGCAGGGUCCCUCCCCUCCCCACCCCUGGGUGCUGCAGCAGGGUCCCUCCCCUCCCCACCCCUGGGUGCCGCACGGGGGGUCCCUCCUCUUUUCCCCUUCCUUCCUUCCUUCCUGGACCAUCCUCUCCCAGUGGUCGGACCAUCUCCCUCACAAGCCCAAGUGAUCUCCCCAGCCUUUUCCCCCUCACCUGUGCUCUCCUUCCAGGAGCUACUGCUGCUACUGCCGCCCAGCCCCAGGAUCCCACCAGCGUUUUCUACAUGGAGGUCACCAUGGAGAUCUCCCUGCACAAAGUCCACCUUGGCAACUUGGAGGAAUUCUAUGCCGGGAUGUGUAACAGCCAACCCACCAGCACUGACGAGGGCACCAUGUUCCACCGAAUUAAGCUCAGUGCCUGCCCGGAGGCUGCUGUGAUCUCUGCUGGCGAUGUGUGAGGAAAGGAGCGAGGGGACUCAGAGGAGCCAAACCUUGGCCGACAGAAAAGCCACUGACGGUACGGCUGGCCAGGCGCCACUUCAGCACCCUUCAUCGCAAAACCAGACCAGAGGUGGAGAAGAGCAAGGGGAGACCUCUUCCACUGAUCUAGAGCCCCAAGGAACAUCACUCCGAGCAGGCCCAGUGCAUGCAAGGCCUCAGCAAACGUCCCGGGGUGCUGGUGUGGGGCAGGGAGGUCUCCAGGCACAACAAAUCCUGCCGAGACAUUCCUCACCAGCAGAGAAGCCCGAGGGGGUGGCCCGGGUGAGAGAUGCAGCCACCGUCACCUGCCCCUCACCCACGCAGGGUGUCCACAGGGGCUUGGUGAUCGAGAUGCACUAAUGUGGGUGCUGGCACUGCAGAGCCUCACGGGCUGUGCUGAAAACGCCCUCCGAAGCGGGCGGGGAAGGUGCAGCCCGUCUUCAUCAUCAUCCAGUCCAGAAACGCCAGCGGGGUCAUGGCCACGCCAAGCGCCGCUCCAGUGUCCAGCCCCCCAGCCCUCUGCACGCCCCCACCUCCUUUUGUCCCCUGGCUUGGAGCUUUGCAGCUGCUGCUGCUGCUUCCAAGUCUGCUUCAAGAGCAGCUCUGCCCAGCAAAGCGUCACGGGGACACACGUCUUUCGGAAGCAGCGGUUGGGUUGAUGUU